RNAcentral lists this ribosomal RNA (301 nucleotides) under uncultured bacterium. RNAcentral describes it as "partial 16S ribosomal RNA". It matches the Rfam family "Archaeal small subunit ribosomal RNA", at positions 459 to 760 of the family's 1478-position model. The record is from RNAcentral.
CAGCAGCCGCGGUAACACCAGCACCUCGAGUGGUCAGGAGGUUUAUUGGGCCUAAAGCAUCCGUAGCCGGUUGCAUAAGUUUUCGGUUAAAUCUAUGCGCUUAACGUAUAGGCCGCCGAAAAUACUGUGCAGCUAGGGAGUGGGAGAGGUACACGGUACUCGAUAGGAAGGGGUAAAAUCCUUUGAUCUAUUGAUGACCACCUGUGGCGAAGGCGGUGUACCAGAACACGUUCGACGGUGAGGGAUGAAAGCUGGGGGAGCAAACCGGAUUAGAUACCCCAGUAGUCCCUGUCUCUUAUAC